CACUUCGGUGGGGAUUAGUGGCGAACGGGUGAGUAACACGUGGGCAAUCUGCCCUGCACUCUGGGACAAGCCCUGGAAACGGGGUCUAAUACCGGAUACUGAUCCGCUUGGGCAUCUUGGCUGAUCGAAAGCUCCGGCGGUGCAGGAUGAGCCCGCGGCCUAUCAGCUAGUUGGUGAGGUAAUGGCUCACCAAGGCGACGACGGGUAGCCGGCCUGAGAGGGCGACCGGCCACACUGGGACUGAGACACGGCCCAGACUCCUACGGGAGGCAGCAGUGGGGAAUAUUGCACAAUGGGCGAAAGCCUGAUGCAGCGACGCCGCGUGAGGGAUGACGGCCUUCGGGUUGUAAACCUCUUUCAGCAGGGAAGAAGCGAAAGUGACGGUACCUGCAGAAGAAGCGCCGGCUAACUACGUGCCAGCAGCCGCGGUAAUACGUAGGGCGCGAGCGUUGUCCGGAAUUAUUGGGCGUAAAGAGCUCGUAGGCGGCUUGUCACGUCGGUUGUGAAAGCCCGGGGCUUAACCCCGGGUCUGCAGUCGAUACGGGCAGGCUAGAGUUCGGUAGGGGAGAUCGGAAUUCCUGGUGUAGCGGUGAAAUGCGCAGAUAUCACGAGGAACACCGGUGGCGA
RNAcentral lists this ribosomal RNA (627 nucleotides) under Streptomyces althioticus. RNAcentral's name for it is "bacterial SSU rRNA". It matches the Rfam family "Bacterial small subunit ribosomal RNA", at positions 76 to 718 of the family's 1533-position model. Lineage: Bacteria; Bacillati; Actinomycetota; Actinomycetes; Kitasatosporales; Streptomycetaceae. The record is from RNAcentral.